CCACAUCUCGCGAUGGAGUGCGGCUC
Molecule: non-coding RNA, 26 nt
Filed under: Homo sapiens (human)
Lineage: Eukaryota; Metazoa; Chordata; Mammalia; Primates; Hominidae
Source: RNAcentral